This is an unclassified non-coding RNA of Saimiri boliviensis boliviensis (Bolivian squirrel monkey), 276 nucleotides long. Its record names the gene 7SK. It matches the Rfam family "7SK RNA". From Rfam's summary of the family: 7SK was discovered as an abundant small nuclear RNA in the mid-70s but a possible function has only recently been suggested. Two independent studies have found that 7SK RNA binds the CDK9/cyclin T complex (known as elongation factor P-TEFb). NCBI's taxonomy places the organism in Eukaryota, Metazoa, Chordata, Mammalia, Primates, Cebidae. The record is from Ensembl.
GUAUAUGAAGGCGAUCUGACUGUGACAUGUGUCACCCCAUUGAUUGCCAGCGUUGAUUCAACUGAUCUGGCUGGCUUGGCGGGUGUCCCUCUCCUCCCGCACAACUCCAUGUUCCUCCCUCCUGAAGCCGUGUGCUCGGUCAAAGAGGAUGGCCAUCCCCAAUAGAAGGGGACCGUUGUUCAGUCAAGGAUAUACAAGUAGCUGUGCUCCCCUGCUAGAACCUCCAAACAUGCUCUUAAAAAUUGGCAGGGGGCUCAGCCUCAUGACUUGGUUCCA